AUACGUAGGGUGCGAGCGUUGUCCGGAAUUACUGGGCGUAAAGAGCUCGUAGGUGGUUUGUCGCGUCGUCUGUGAAAUUCCGGGGCUUAACUCCGGGCGUGCAGGCGAUACGGGCAUAACUUGAGUACUGUAGGGGAGACCGGAAUUCCUGGUGUAGCGGUGAAAUGCGCAGAUAUCAGGAGGAACACCGGUGGCGAAGGCGGGUCUCUGGGCAGUAACUGACGCUGAGGAGCGAAAGCAUGGGUAGCGAACAGGAUUAGAUACCCUGGUAGUCCAUGCCGUAAACGGUGGGCGCUAGGUGUAGGGGUCUUCCACGACUUCUGUGCCGUAGCUAACGCAUUAAGCGCCCCGCCUGGGGAGUACGGCCGCAAGGCUAAAACUUAAAGGAAUUGACGGGG
Molecule: ribosomal RNA, 398 nt
Filed under: uncultured bacterium
Lineage: Bacteria
Description: partial 16S ribosomal RNA
Rfam family: Bacterial small subunit ribosomal RNA
Source: RNAcentral